Gorilla gorilla gorilla (western lowland gorilla) is the source of this 1209-nucleotide RNA transcript. It is a transcript of the gene named ybeY metalloendoribonuclease, with no coding region annotated. NCBI's taxonomy places the organism in Eukaryota, Metazoa, Chordata, Mammalia, Primates, Hominidae. The transcript is spliced from 6 exons. The record is from RefSeq and is a predicted model, not a curated record.
AUGUGGAGGCCCGGGCGCGCGGAGCUGCGUGGGGGAAGGAAACGGCGCCCCUGGCGCCGGCCCAGCCCCCACGCUCACCGUCUCGCCCCAGGACCCCGAGGCCCGCGCUGCCCUCUGGCCCCUCGGAAGGACUGGAGGCGCAAGCACAGGCUGCUGCCGCGAUACUCCGCGCUGCGCACCGCGGGCAGAAAACGCCGCGGACCGCCUUCCGGUUCGCUCAGCACUACCGGGUUCCGCCCCGCCCGCUGCGAUCCGGUUCCGCUCCCCCCAGCCCGCUCUGUGGCGGGGCUUCCGGUCGGGCGGGUCCGCCCGCUCUCGUGCCCUUUGCCGGGUCCAGACACCGGUUCCGUUGCAAACAUUUUUAAAGGGCUGGUUAUUCUUCGUGAAAUGAGUUUGGUGAUUAGAAAUCUGCAGCGAGUCAUCCCCAUCAGGAGAGCGCCACUUCGCAGUAAGAUCGAGAUUGUAAGGAGGAUUUUAGGAGUGCAGAAAUUUGACCUGGGGAUCAUCUGUGUUGACAACAAGAAUAUUCAGCACAUUAAUAGAAUCUACAGAGAUAGAAAUGUCCCAACCGAUGUGCUUUCUUUUCCAUUUCAUGAGCAUCUGAAAGCAGGUGAAUUUCCCCAGCCUGAUUUUCCAGAUGACUACAAUUUGGGAGACAUUUUCCUAGGAGUGGAGUAUAUCUUCCAUCAGUGUAAAGAAAAUGAAGAUUACAAUGACGUCCUGACUGUGACGGCCACCCACGGACUCUGUCACUUGCUGGGCUUCACACACGGCUCGGAGGCAGAGUGGCAGCAGGAACUGGACCUCAGACCUGCCCUUGUAAAAAUGACACAGAUGUUUGCUUUCAACACCGGGCUCCCCAAAUACUUCCAGCUGAAUGUGUUCACUAAGGAAAGCGGUCUGAGUGCAGAGGCCGAGAGCCACAGCUGACACUAGCCAGUGGCGCUUGGUCAAAAAGGUCCAAUCAGCCAGACUAGGCCAGACCCAGGGCGGAGGCGGCAGCUCUGCGUGAAGUGAGUUCCAGAUGUUCCAGAAGGAGAAGGCGGUGCUGGAAGAGCUGGGCCGACGCACGGGGACCCGGCUGCAGCCCCUGACCCGGGGCCUCUUCGGAGGGAGCUGAGGGCCGCGUUCCUUCUGAAAGCGGGACGCGGGAGGGGUGGAGGCUGCGGGGAGCCGGGGUCGCACACAAAUAAAUAACGAAUGAAUGUA